CCUACGGGGGGCUGCAGGAGGGAAUCUUCCGCAAUGGACGAAAGUCUGACGGAGCAACGCCGCGUGAGCGAAGAAGGUCUUCGGAUCGUAAAGCUCUGUUGUUAGGGAAGAACAAGUACGGGAGGAAAUGACCGUACCUUGACGGUACCUAACGAGGAAGCCACGGCUAACUACGUGACAGCAGCCGGGGUAAUACGUAGGUGGCAAGCGUUGUCCGGAAUUAUUGGGCGUAAAGCGCGCGCAGGCGGUCUUUUAAGUCUGAUGUGAAAUCUUGCGGCUCAACCGCAAGCGGUCAUUGGAAACUGGGAGAAUUGAGGGCAGAAGCGGAAAGCGGAGUUCCAGGUGUUGCGGUGAACUGCGUAGAGCUGUGGAGGAACACCAGUGGCGAAGGCUGCUUUCUGGUCUGUAACUGACGCUGAGGCGAGAAAGCGUGGGGAGCAAACAGGCUUAGAUACCCGUGUAGUC
Molecule: ribosomal RNA, 465 nt
Filed under: uncultured bacterium
Lineage: Bacteria
Description: bacterial SSU rRNA
Rfam family: Bacterial small subunit ribosomal RNA
Source: RNAcentral